CCUACGGGGGGCAGCAGUGGGGAAUAUUGGACAAUGGGCGAAAGCCUGAUCCAGCCAUGCCGCGUGUGUGAAGAAGGCCUUCGGGUUGUAAAGCACUUUCAGUGGGGAAGAAAGCCUUGGGGCUAAUACCCUCGAGGAAGGACAUCACCCACAGAAGAAGCACCGGCUAACUCCGUGCCAGCAGCCGCGGUAAUACGGAGGGUGCGAGCGUUAAUCGGAAUUACUGGGCGUAAAGCGCGCGUAGGCGGUCUGAUAAGCCGGUUGUGAAAGCCCCGGGCUCAACCUGGGAACGGCAUCCGGAACGGUCAGGCUAGAGUGCAGGAGAGGAAGGUAGAAUUCCCGGUGUAGCGGUGAAAUGCGUAGAGAUCGGGAGGAAUACCAGUGGCGAAGGCGGCCUUCUGGACUGACACUGACGCUGAGGUGCGAAAGCGUGGGUAGCAAACAGGAUUAGAUACCCGGGUAGUC
This 465-nucleotide ribosomal RNA is filed under the name Vreelandella stevensii. RNAcentral describes it as "partial 16S ribosomal RNA". It matches the Rfam family "Bacterial small subunit ribosomal RNA", at positions 338 to 795 of the family's 1533-position model. The record is from RNAcentral. Lineage: Bacteria; Pseudomonadati; Pseudomonadota; Gammaproteobacteria; Oceanospirillales; Halomonadaceae.